Molecule: ribosomal RNA, 509 nt
Filed under: uncultured bacterium
Lineage: Bacteria
Description: bacterial SSU rRNA
Rfam family: Bacterial small subunit ribosomal RNA
Source: RNAcentral
GAGAGUUUGAUCCUGGCUCAGAUUGAACGCUGGCGGCAGGCCUAACACAUGCAAGUCGAGCGGAUGAAGGGAGCUUGCUCCUGGAUUCAGCGGCGGACGGGUGAGUAAUGCCUAGGAAUCUGCCUGGUAGUGGGGGAUAACGUCCGGAAACGGGCGCUAAUACCGCAUACGUCCUGAGGGAGAAAGUGGGGGAUCUUCGGACCUCACGCUAUCAGAUGAGCCUAGGUCGGAUUAGCUAGUUGGUGGGGUAAAGGCCUACCAAGGCGACGAUCCGUAACUGGUCUGAGAGGAUGAUCAGUCACACUGGAACUGAGACACGGUCCAGACUCCUACGGGAGGCAGCAGUGGGGAAUAUUGGACAAUGGGCGAAAGCCUGAUCCAGCCAUGCCGCGUGUGUGAAGAAGGUCUUCGGAUUGUAAAGCACUUUAAGUUGGGAGGAAGGGCAGUAAGUUAAUACCUUGCUGUUUUGACGUUACCAACAGAAUAAGCACCGGCUAACUUCGUGCCAG